GCUCCUAAUGCUCACACUGGAGAUGUGAGCCACCUCCUGUCCAGCCUAGCUCGGGAUUAAGAAUCUAAGGAAGUGUGAGAUUGGUGUAGUGUUGGGGGCUCGCUCCUUCACAGACUAAACAGCUAGAAUAGGCAAACAGGAAGGCAAAGAAAACAUGGCUGAGAGGACAAGCACGAGACACUGCGACCCUAGUGACAGCACCAUACACCCUCGAGUCGCCUCUCUAGAGGGAAGGAACGGCAAGAGCAAACUGUGACCGUCUCCCUGCGCGCUUCCCUGUCCUCUCAGACUGCCGGGAAUAACAGAGGCAGAUCUCUCGCUGCUCACAGCUCUGUUUACCUUGGUCAUGCCAACGCCGACCACGAACACCCGGUGCAGGCGCGGAGACUUCAAAGCGACAUAAGGCAUGGCUCCAGCAGCGAACAAGAUCUCCUACAGACUGAGGAUUUGCUGAACCAAAGCGGGUUCAGUGAGAGAGGGAAGGCCUGAAAUGGAAGCUCUGGUCUCAGAGGAAACUCAGAAGCCUGUGGAGAUUCUUUAGAGUGUUAGAAACGUUCUGUAUCUGUGAGAGUAGUUACAACACUCAGUAUAUGAGCCAAAGCACGAUGUACGCUAAUAAAGUCAGAAUUCUACGCGUG
This is a long non-coding RNA of Mastomys coucha (southern multimammate mouse), 638 nucleotides long. RefSeq lists it as uncharacterized. The record is from RefSeq and is a predicted model, not a curated record. Lineage: Eukaryota; Metazoa; Chordata; Mammalia; Rodentia; Muridae. The transcript has 2 exons.